Molecule: transfer RNA, 71 nt
Filed under: Phrynosoma platyrhinos (Desert horned lizard)
Lineage: Eukaryota; Metazoa; Chordata; Lepidosauria; Squamata; Phrynosomatidae
Description: tRNA-OTHER
Source: RNAcentral
GCCAAUGUGGCAUAGUGGUUUGAGUGUUGGACUACGAUUCUGGAGAUCAGGGUUCAAUUCCUGCUCAGCCA